Molecule: ribosomal RNA, 253 nt
Filed under: uncultured bacterium
Lineage: Bacteria
Description: partial 16S ribosomal RNA
Rfam family: Bacterial small subunit ribosomal RNA
Source: RNAcentral
UACAGAGGGUGCUAGCGUUGUUCGGAAUCAUUGGGCGUAAAGAGCGUGUAGGCGGUUGGGUAGGUCCGUUGUGAAAACUCGAGGCUCAACCUCGAGACGCCGAUGGAAACCCCCCAGCUAGAGUCCGGAAGAGGAGAGUGGAAUUCCUGGUGUAGCGGUGAAAUGCGCAGAUAUCAGGAAGAACACCCGUGGCUAAGGCGGCUCUCUAGUACGGUACUGACGCUGAGACGCGAAAGCGUGGGGAGCGAACAGG